Molecule: long non-coding RNA, 538 nt
Filed under: Anas zonorhyncha (Eastern spot-billed duck)
Lineage: Eukaryota; Metazoa; Chordata; Aves; Anseriformes; Anatidae
Description: lncRNA (ENSAZOG00000000610.1)
Source: RNAcentral
AUGCUCUGCUUGGAGCCAGUAUCUCUUCAGUCUGAAUACUGGGUGAAACUAAGGUAUGUUACAUGGCAAGAAGGAAAGCUUCAUGUGCCUUUAUUUAUCUAUCUAUUUAUUUAUUUAUUUUCCCAGCCAUACUACCAAAUGCUUUUGGCUUGGAUAGCUGGAGACCUGUUUUGGUCCUUCACUGGAUGGCUUCCCUUGCCCACUCUUCUUCCUGGUUGUCUUCAGCUGUGCACAGAAGAAAGGUGCUGUAAAGACAUAGAUAUAAAGAGGAAGAUGUGCGUGCUUUAUCUCCAUUGGUGUUUGGAGUGGGAUGAAGCAGAAGAUAGGAGCAGCUUCAACAGAAUUCUGCAUCAUAGUGCUGAUGACUCAAUCCUUCUCAGUUCCCAAGAAAAGCACAAAGGUCAACUUCUGUGCCUUCCCAAAAAUUUAGAAAACUGCCACACAGAUCUGUGAAGCUCAGGAUAUGAACUGCAAACGAGAGAUAAGGAACAUCGUAGUGCUUAUCAAGAAUGAUGGAAUUUGAGAUUCUGAGAUGAAG